Molecule: transfer RNA, 74 nt
Filed under: bacterium
Lineage: Bacteria
Description: tRNA-Ile
Rfam family: tRNA
About the family: Transfer RNA (tRNA) molecules are approximately 80 nucleotides in length. Their secondary structure includes four short double-helical elements and three loops (D, anti-codon, and T loops). Further hydrogen bonds mediate the characteristic L-shaped molecular structure. tRNAs have two regions of fundamental functional importance: the anti-codon, which is responsible for specific mRNA codon recognition, and the 3' end, to which the tRNAs corresponding amino acid is attached (by aminoacyl-tRNA synthetases). tRNAs cope with the degeneracy of the genetic code in two manners: having more than one tRNA (with a specific anti-codon) for a particular amino acid; and 'wobble' base-pairing, i.e. permitting non-standard base-pairing at the 3rd anti-codon position.
Source: RNAcentral
GAUCGUGUAGCUCAGUUGGUCAGAGCACCAGUCUUAUGAGCUGGUGGUCGAGGGUUCAAGUCCCUCUUCGAUCA